UACUGCAUUUUUUCUUACACAUGUGUUUUUCUUUUUUUGAAAACUUUGCUUUGGUAGGGUCGUGUGGGGCCUGCCAGAGAUUAAACUCAACCAAAUUUUAUUUAAUGUCAACCGAUUAUUUAAUAGUCAAAACUUUCAACAACGGAUCUCUUGGUUCUCGCAUCGAUGAAGAACGCAGCGAAAUGCGAUAAGUAAUAUGAAUUGCAGAUAUUCGUGAAUCAUCGAAUCUUUGAACGCACAUUGCGCCCUUUGGUAUUCCAAAGGGCAUGCCUGUUUGAGCGUCAUUUCUCCCUCAAACCCUCGGGUUUGGUGUUGAGCGAUACGCUGGGUUUGCUUGAAAGAAAGGCGGAGUAUAAACUAAUGGAUAGGUUUUUUCCACUCAUUGGUACAAACUCCAAAACUUCUUCCAAAUUCGACCUCAAAUCAGGUAGGACUACCCGCUGAACUUAAGCAUAUCAAUAAGCGGAGG
RNAcentral lists this ribosomal RNA (469 nucleotides) under Lodderomyces parapsilosis. RNAcentral's name for it is "eukaryotic LSU rRNA". The stretch from base 131 to 284 matches the Rfam family "5.8S ribosomal RNA". Lineage: Eukaryota; Fungi; Ascomycota; Pichiomycetes; Serinales; Debaryomycetaceae. The record is from RNAcentral.